GGCUGGUCCGAUGGUAGUGGGUUAUCAGAACUUAUUAACAUUAGUGUCACUAAAGUUGGUAUUCAACCCCCCACUGCUAAAUUUGACUGGCUUAAA
Unclassified non-coding RNA from Microcebus murinus (gray mouse lemur), 96 nucleotides. It matches the Rfam family "Y RNA". Rfam says of the family: Y RNAs are components of the Ro ribonucleoprotein particle (Ro RNP), in association with Ro60 and La proteins. The Y RNAs and Ro60 and La proteins are well conserved, but the function of the Ro RNP is not known. NCBI's taxonomy places the organism in Eukaryota, Metazoa, Chordata, Mammalia, Primates, Cheirogaleidae. The record is from Ensembl.